RNAcentral lists this ribosomal RNA (1179 nucleotides) under Escherichia marmotae. Its description in RNAcentral is "partial 23S ribosomal RNA". It matches the Rfam family "Bacterial large subunit ribosomal RNA", at positions 588 to 1770 of the family's 2925-position model. Lineage: Bacteria; Pseudomonadati; Pseudomonadota; Gammaproteobacteria; Enterobacterales; Enterobacteriaceae. The record is from RNAcentral.
AUGGGGUGACUGCGUACCUUUUGUAUAAUGGGUCAGCGACUUAUAUUCUGUAGCAAGGUUAACCGAAUAGGGGAGCCGAAGGGAAACCGAGUCUUAACUGGGCGUUAAGUUGCAGGGUAUAGACCCGAAACCCGGUGAUCUAGCCAUGGGCAGGUUGAAGGUUGGGUAACACUAACUGGAGGACCGAACCGACUAAUGUUGAAAAAUUAGCGGAUGACUUGUGGCUGGGGGUGAAAGGCCAAUCAAACCGGGAGAUAGCUGGUUCUCCCCGAAAGCUAUUUAGGUAGCGCCUCGUGAAUUCAUCUCCGGGGGUAGAGCACUGUUUCGGCAAGGGGGUCAUCCCGACUUACCAACCCGAUGCAAACUGCGAAUACCGGAGAAUGUUAUCACGGGAGACACACGGCGGGUGCUAACGUCCGUCGUGAAGAGGGAAACAACCCAGACCGCCAGCUAAGGUCCCAAAGUCAUGGUUAAGUGGGAAACGAUGUGGGAAGGCCCAGACAGCCAGGAUGUUGGCUUAGAAGCAGCCAUCAUUUAAAGAAAGCGUAAUAGCUCACUGGUCGAGUCGGCCUGCGCGGAAGAUGUAACGGGGCUAAACCAUGCACCGAAGCUGCGGCAGCGACACUAUGUGUUGUUGGGUAGGGGAGCGUUCUGUAAGCCGUUGAAGGUGGCCUGUGAGGGUUGCUGGAGGUAUCAGAAGUGCGAAUGCUGACAUAAGUAACGAUAAAGCGGGUGAAAAGCCCGCUCGCCGGAAGACCAAGGGUUCCUGUCCAACGUUAAUCGGGGCAGGGUGAGUCGACCCCUAAGGCGAGGCCGAAAGGCGUAGUCGAUGGGAAACAGGUUAAUAUUCCUGUACUUGGUGUUACUGCGAAGGGGGGACGGAGAAGGCUAUGUUGGCCGGGCGACGGUUGUCCCGGUUUAAGCGUGUAGGCUGAUUUUCCAGGCAAAUCCGGAGAAUCAAGGCUGAGGCGUGAUGACGAGGCACUACGGUGCUGAAGCAACAAAUGCCCUGCUUCCAGGAAAAGCCUCUAAGCAUCAGGUAACAUCAAAUCGUACCCCAAACCGACACAGGUGGUCAGGUAGAGAAUACCAAGGCGCUUGAGAGAACUCGGGUGAAGGAACUAGGCAAAAUGGUGCCGUAACUUCGGGAGAAGGCACGCUGAUGGUAGGUGAAGCGAC